RNAcentral lists this ribosomal RNA (253 nucleotides) under uncultured bacterium. Its description in RNAcentral is "partial 16S ribosomal RNA". It matches the Rfam family "Bacterial small subunit ribosomal RNA", at positions 524 to 776 of the family's 1533-position model. The record is from RNAcentral.
UACAGAGGGUGCGAGCGUUAAUCGGAAUUACUGGGCGUAAAGCGCGCGUAGGCGGCUUUGCAAGUCGGGUGUGAAAUCCCCAGGCUUAACCUGGGAACUGCAUUCGAGACUGCAUUGCUAGAGUAUGGGAGAGGGAAGUGGAAUUUCCGGUGUAGCGGUGAAAUGCGUAGAUAUCUGAAGGAACAUCAGUGGCGAAAGCGACUUCCUGGACGAAUACUGACGCUCAUGUGCGAAAGCGUGGGGAGCAAACAGG